RNAcentral lists this transfer RNA (62 nucleotides) under Laticauda semifasciata (broad-banded blue sea krait). RNAcentral's name for it is "tRNA-Tyr". It matches the Rfam family "tRNA". Rfam says of the family: Transfer RNA (tRNA) molecules are approximately 80 nucleotides in length. The record is from RNAcentral. Lineage: Eukaryota; Metazoa; Chordata; Lepidosauria; Squamata; Elapidae.
GGUAGUAUGGCUGAAAAUAGCGGUAGGCUGUAAACCUACACACAGGUUCCCCCUUGCUGCCA